GGGGAAGGAUGGGCAUGUAGGGAGCUAAAAUUUUCCAACUUUCUGCUUUCUCCUGAACCCCCAUUGGAGUUAAUGCAUUUCGAUUUCUAAUGAGGGCUGAUACUAGCAAGCAGUAAAAGGAAUUAACAAAGUGAAGUCAGGAGACAGCUGCAGCAUAAACAUCAAGUAGCCAAACUGCUGACAGCUCCCUGCCACCAGUAACAUUGAAGUGAAAAAAAUAGCGAGGAUCCGUUAUUGUUGCUUGUAUCGGACUUCUUAUUUGACCUGAACAAAAGCAAGUGUGUUAUGGUUAAGUGCUGUUCCUGUUUACAAUUUUCAUUUUGCAAUUUCAUCUUCGGAUUGCUUCAACUCUGUUUUGCCUGUAGUCUGAGAAAAAUAAUCAAGGGGCAACUGAUAGUGGAAUGUAACGUUGUCCUUCUCAGUCAUUCACAUGUGCUGCUACUGCGUGCUGCACGUUCAAGGGGGUAUGCGAGUUAAAAACUAUGAGAUGUUGUGUUCAUGUCUGUGAAUUGUGAGCUGCAAAAUAAUUCUGCAACCGUGCAUUGGCAUGUCUGAGGGCUUGCAAAAUGAAAGACUGAGCAUAUUGCAAAAUAGUUUCCAGUUUUGCUUUUCAAACAGGAAUUCAGCCUUCCUUCUUCCCUGAGUAACUUGAUGCAGGGCAAUGAAUUGAAGUGUUGUUUGCAUACUUUCCCUGUAAAAUAUUGGUAUGCUUUCAUCUCCAUGGUUAAAACUCUCGGUCUCCCUCCUGCACCCUGUGAGAAUUACUUAAUACCUUUACAAGGAAGACAACUUUCUCAAUAAGCUGUGAUAAAACUAGGAAGCUUAUUAGAAAAGAGCUGUUGUAAAAGAGAACGUACUAUUUAAGGGUUUCCAGUGGUGGUUACUUGUGUGUCUACUUGAGCAGCCCGUGUGAUUAAAUUUAGUGUAUUACUGUCAGAUGAGUAAAUAUCCCUGUUCUGCAGAUGUGGAACUGAGAGACCUGCCUGACAUUAUGUAAGCGAGUGACAGCUGGGGUCAGAGCUCUGUGUUAUUUCUGAUCCAGACUACUGCCCUAACCACAGGAUCACAAUUUCCCUUUUCAGUUCUUUUCAGAUUUUCUACAUAAUUCCUCGCUAAGGUUUUUCAGACAGUGGAUAGCGUAUAUUAUAAUAAAGGAGAUAAGAAUCACUUGCCUCUUACUUUGUGGUUAUAUUGAAGCUACUACGUACAGGCAAAAAGCUGUGAACGCAAAAAAUAGCAAUUGGGAAAUCUUACUCAUCUCACGAUGUGUUUCUGAUCGCAUAAGCCAUGCAGGGAACAGAACGUAGCCAGUGUUUCAGCUGGAGAUGUCUCAGAAUAAUGAUACAUAAAAUUAGUUCAGACUGAAAAAUGAUUCCUUCCAAGACAGCCCAAGCAUGAAGGUAUCGGCUUUCUGUUAAGCCUUAGAUAUCAUUAAUAGUCCAAAGGUCUUAUGACACUUAAAAUGAAAACCUGCAUCCUUUUUGAAGGCUGGUUUGGUAACUGCGCUCUGAUUCUUAUGUAACCUCUGUAAUUUCAGCAGGUUUUAAGGUAUCCUGCACCUCCCUUUCACAGAGCAGUUUCUGGAGGGUGCUAAAAGAAAACGCAUCGCAUGUCAACAGAGAGGUUGAAUUUGAUGUUAGCUGCACGAUGACCUCGUUCCCAGGGGCCAGAAGGAGAACCAGUGCAUUGAGAAAUGAGAGCGUCAAGGAAGCAUGUUACCUAACUGUCCAUGCUAGUUGCGGGUUUGUAAUGGAACAUGAUUCAUCAGCCAUCACCAAGGAAACCAGGGAGUGUGUCAGAAUAUACUAGUUUAUGAAGAGUUAGAGUUGUUAUAGAAUCAUAGAAUGGUUUGGGUUGGAAGGGACCUUAAAGAUCAUCUAGUUCCAACAAAUCAUAUAUUUGGUAAUUUGGAGUUGUUAAUUCAUAGGAAAAUUCCUGCUUGGCCUGAGAUGUUGUCUUGUGUUCUGUGAAAAUUUAAGCUUUUUUGUUACUCCCAGAAAACAACCGGAUUAUUAUAUAGUGUCUCAUGGAUUUUAAUUAACUCAUUUUAGGCAUAUAUUUUCAUUGAUUACAGUAAUCCAUCCACUCUGCCUACUGUUUAAAAAAAAUACAGAAAUAAUGUUAGAUUGUCACCGAAGAUAAAUUCAGUGGUUUAAAUUAAUUUAAGCUAAUGUAACUUGCGAUACGUUAUGUUGCUGUCAUAGCUCUUGGCUUUUCCCAUCCCACAGAGGAAUCAUUCCCCGGGGGGUUGAGAUUUAAUCUAUGUCCUUUCUGUUGAGGAGGAGACAGACCUGCAGGAGGAACCGUUUGUGGAGGAUUAGCCAGGAGAUGGCAGCGGAGGGAAUCGCUGCCUGCUUCUGAAGAAGCAAAUGAAGUGGAUGAAGGAGGGCGGCUUGCUCCUCUGACGGGGUUGCCAGGAGCCAGGUCAGCCCAAUGCAGAAAGCGCUGUCCUCACUUGCUCUCCAGGGUUCUUAACAGUGGAAAAUCACUGGGAUACAGGAUCACCCUUGCCAAACUCCUCCAUCUGUGAUGUUUCUGGAAUGAUCUUUGCCCCGCUGCCUUUCAGUGGGAAGGAGACAGGAGGCAGCGGAGAAUUUGCCCUUUUGAGUUUCCCACUUGCCUUGUACCACUGACAAAUCGCUUGAAGGCGGUUGGUCUCCUAUGUCAAUAGGAGCUGGUGUAACUCCAAAAGGGGGGGUAACGCGAAAGGAGAAACGGUGAAACCCAUGCUGUGCAGAGGAAACGGGGUGUGCUCUGCAUCAAAAAGCCAGAAUGUCUCAGACUAAAUAGGCAAUAAAAUAUUUUCUUGAUAACCAAGGUUGUUUCUCAGGAGAGGCUAGUGACUCAGGCUAUCAGUAGGUAGAGGUUGCUGUCCUUUAACAACUGGGAGUAAGGGCUGCUAGGAAAGGGCUUGGAAUAGCAACAGUUUGGCUGCAGAAAUGCUCAGACCUCUGUUCUCAGCUCGGGCUGGAACUGAAUUUUGCCAAAAUGGGGAAACUUUAGAGCAUUGGGGGGUUACAGCUUGAGAGCUUGGACAACGUGGCAUUCCCCGGAGCAGCCGGCACAGGGGCAGUCGGCUCUUGUCCAGCCCAUGUAGGGAGCAGAAAACUGUGGUUUUUCCAGACCCUUUGAAUUCUGUUUGCGUCCUUCCAUUCUUAGACAUUUUUAAUUAAAAAGCAACACAAAACCCAA
Molecule: long non-coding RNA, 3192 nt
Organism: Harpia harpyja (harpy eagle)
Lineage: Eukaryota; Metazoa; Chordata; Aves; Accipitriformes; Accipitridae
Exons: 2
Source: RefSeq, a predicted model, not a curated record